Molecule: small nuclear RNA, 23 nt
Filed under: Arabidopsis thaliana (thale cress)
Lineage: Eukaryota; Viridiplantae; Streptophyta; Magnoliopsida; Brassicales; Brassicaceae
Description: snRNA_03295
Source: RNAcentral
AAAAAUAAAUAUGUUACUAAAAA